This 480-nucleotide ribosomal RNA is filed under the name uncultured bacterium. RNAcentral describes it as "partial 16S ribosomal RNA". It matches the Rfam family "Bacterial small subunit ribosomal RNA", at positions 28 to 507 of the family's 1533-position model. The record is from RNAcentral.
GAUGAACGCUAGCGGCAGGCCUAACACAUGCAAGUCGAGGGGUAGAAGGAGCUUGCUCCUUUGAGACCGGCGCACGGGUGCGUAACGCGUAUGCAAUCUACCUUGUACAGGGGAAUAGCCCAGAGAAAUUUGGAUUAAUGCCCCAUAGUAUAUAACCUUCGCAUGUUGGUUAUAUUAAAGUUCCAACGGUACAAGAUGAGCAUGCGUCCCAUUAGUUAGUUGGUAAGGUAACGGCUUACCAAGACGAUGAUGGGUAGGGGUCCUGAGAGGGAGAUCCCCCACACUGGUACUGAGACACGGACCAGACUCCUACGGGAGGCAGCAGUGAGGAAUAUUGGUCAAUGGUCGCAAGACUGAACCAGCCAUGCCGCGUGCAGGAAGACGGUCCUAUGGAUUGUAAACUGCUUUUAUACAGGAAGAAACCCUCCCACGUGUGGGGGCUUGACGGUACUGUAGGAAUAAGGAUCGGCUAACUCCGUG